RNAcentral lists this long non-coding RNA (1570 nucleotides) under Sus scrofa (pig). RNAcentral describes it as "lncRNA (ENSSSCG00030030349.1)". Lineage: Eukaryota; Metazoa; Chordata; Mammalia; Artiodactyla; Suidae. The record is from RNAcentral.
UUUUUUAUUACUCAAAUGAAUUUAUCACAUCUGUACUUGUAUAAUGAUCAUAAAAAUCUGAUUUCACAGGACUUCCAUCCCACACCCCAAGCACAUCCUCCCACCCCCCAAACUGUCUCCUCCAGAGACCAUAAGUUUUUCCAUGUUUGUGAGUCAGCAUUUGUUCUGCAAAAAAGUUCAGUCUGUCCUUUUUUCAGAUUCCACAUGUCAGUGAAAGCAUUGGAUGUUGGCGUCUCAUUAUAUGGCUGACUUCACUUAGCAUGAUAGUUUCUAGGUCCAUCCAUGUUGAUAAAAAUGCUGGUAUUUUGUUCUUUUUGAUGACUGAGUAAUAUUCCAUUGUGUAUAUGUAUCACCUCUUCUUGAUCCACUCCUCUGUCGAUGGACAUUUAGGUUGUUUCCAUGUCUUGGCUAGUGAAAAUAGUGCUGCAAUGAACAUCAGACUACAGGUGUCUUUGCGAGUUGUGGUUUUCUCUGGAUAGAUGCUCAGGAGUGGGAUUGCUGGAACAAAGGGUAGUUCUAUGUUUAGUUUUCUGAGGACUCUCCAUACUGUUUUCCACAGUGGUUGCACCAAUUUACAAUCCCACCAACAGUUGUACUGGGGUUCCUUUUUCUCCACACCCUCUCCAGCACUUAUUGUUUGUAGACUUUUGGAUGAUGGCCAUUCUGGCUGGUGUAAGGUGGUACCUCAUCGUGGUUUUGAUUUGCAUCUCUCUAAUAAUGAGUGAUGUUGAGCAUCUUUUCAUGUGUUUUUUGGCCAUCUGCAUGUCUUCUUUGGAGCAUUGUCUGUUUAGAUCUUCUGCCCAUUUUUUGAUGGGGUUGUUUGGGGUUUUUUUUGGUAUUGGGCUACAGAAGGUGUUUAUAAAUUUUGGAGAUCAAUCCCUUGUCAGUUGAAUCACUUGCAAAUAUUUUCUCCCAUUCUGUGGGUUGUCUUUUCAUUUUUCUUCCAAUUUCCUUUGCUGUGCAGAAACUUUGUAGUUUGAUUAGGUCCCAUUUGUUUAUUUUUGCCUUUAUUUGCAAUACUCUUAAGAGGUGGAUCUGAGAAGAUGUUGAUGUCAUUUAUGUCAGAGAGUGUUUGGCCUAUGUUUUUCCCUAAGAGUUUUGUAGUGUCUGGUCUUAUAUCUAGGUCUUUAAUCCAUUUAGCGUUUCUUUUUGUGUAUGGUGUUAGGGAGUGUUCUAAUUUCCUUCUUUUCCAUGUGGCUGUCCAGUUUUCCCAGCACCACUUAUUGAAGAGUAUGUCUUUUCUCCGUUGUAUAUUCUUGCCUCCUUUGUCAUAGAUGAGUUGGCUGUAGGUGCAUGGGUUUAAUUCUAGGCUUUCUAUCCUGUUCCACUGAUCUAUAUGUCUGUCUUUGUGCCAGUACCAUAUGGUUUUGAUGACUGUUGCUUUGUAGUAUAGUCUGAAGUCCGGGAGCCUGAUUCCUCCAGCUCCAUUUUUCUUUUUCAGGAUGUCUUUGGCUCUUCUGGGUCUUUUGUGCUUCCAAACAAACUUUUAAAUCUUUUGUUAGAGUUCUGUGAAAAAUGUCCUUGGUAAUUUGAUAGGGAUUGCAUUGAUUCUGUAGUUUGCCUUGGGUAG